This 58-nucleotide transfer RNA is filed under the name Epipenaeon fissurae. RNAcentral describes it as "tRNA-Ala". The record is from RNAcentral. Lineage: Eukaryota; Metazoa; Arthropoda; Malacostraca; Isopoda; Bopyridae.
AAAAUCGUAGUUUAAAUAAAAUACUUGAUUUGCAUUCAGGAGACGACCGCCGAUUUUG